UCACGUGGCCGCUAACCAUCCCCGUACGCCGCGAUUAAUUAAACCCCGAUCAACUCCAAAUCUCUCGCCUAGCCGUUGUUCGCGCCCCCUCUCGCCAUCGCCGAAAGCCAACUCUCCUCUCCACUGCGUCCCAAGGAUUUUUCUAUCUUCCACUUGCGAGGGUUCUAGACCGAUCCCGAUCCUUCCAGACACUUCGAAGCCUAGCCUUUAAAUACCCGGCCAGCGUCACCCGCCACACCAUCACAGCUCGGACGCAGGCCGCCAUUGGCUCCGGGUGGUUGCCUGGAGCUCCCGGAGGAUUCGAGGCCCAGAAUUGCACGCGGCGGCACCAAGCAUGAGGUAGUAACUGCAUUACUUGCCGGGAAGUCGCAAGUAAGACACCGAAGCAGACAUCGCUUGAGGGAAAGGCGCAAAAUCAAUAGAAGAUUAUCAUACUUGUGACUUUCUUGCAAGUUGUGCAGUUGCUGCCUCAAGCUUGCUGCCUCCCUUUGCCAGAGCUAUCAGCAAAACAGAAAGAUCUGUCAGUUUCCUUGAACUAUAAAUUUUAUAUCACAAACUUAACCUGCAAAUUAACAGCAUAAUGUGUUGAUGAUAGUCUAUAAAUACCCAAUAACUCCAGAUGUGUUUGUCAUGGUAUUAGGCCAGUUUGAUCUACUUGAAGUACAUACAGGUAUAGCCUUCUUUGAUUCGAGUUAUGAACCAGAGAUUGACCCUGAUCACCUUGUUAGUACAGAUUCAGCUUUAAAUUACAUUAUCCAUUUAUACAAUGGGUUUCACAUUCCCAUAAUUUGCUGAAAACAAUAUUGGUACUGUAAUAAUAGUCGUAGAAAAAUUCUACCCAGAUGAGUGCUUUUGCCAACAACUACGGAACAGGGCAUCAUGUGACCACACACUUGCCAGCCCGCACUCUGCAUCUUGUCGUCUCCUGCAUCCAUUUAAAUUAAUCCUAACUACUUCAGGGGAGCCCUAUUAUACGUACAUGUGGUCCAGCUAAAGAGUGCAUGAUUUCUCUGAAACAAAGAUAAUCUGAUUUCUAUCUUGAGUCAUAUCCCAUUGCUAUGUUAUAGCGAAAAUCAGGUCCUAAAUAGGUCCAGGUAGAAAAGUAAUUCCAUCAGUAAGUUGGUCAUGAUGGGCGAAUUGCAUGCACCUGAAGGUACAUUGAGAUGCUUAGUUUUUUUUUUCUUUUUGGUGGUUAUUGUGAUGUGUUAUUGUAUUUUGGGUAUCUUCUGGCUGUACUGUUCAUACAAUAGAUCAGCUGUGUCGGACAUUGGCUCAUGUUUUGGUGUAAUUUCAUCUUUGAAGUGUAAUGUCGCAAAAUAGGAUAAUGAAACCGGUGCAUUCAUGAUUCUGCCGUUUCCUCGACAUAUACCAAAUAGCAAAAUAGUCACUAAACAUAUACCAAAUAGCUAAAUAGUCACUAAACAUAUACCAAAUAGCAAAAUAGUCACUAAACAAAAUUUCAUGCUUUUGCUGUUGGAUGGUUGUUUCAAAUAUUGUUAUCACUAUUCAUCAUCGUUUCUUGAUAGUUGCCAAUCUUUAUACCAGAUCCGAUUAUUUUUUCGAAGGAUCCUGGGUGUCACUCUACCACUUUACAAUAUCUUUGCCCAUACAGUGUAAUUUGAGUUACAAGCAUUCUAGUGUGUGAUGUAAAGGAACAUCUGACAGCUAUUCUGAACUUCUAAGCUGCCACAACAGGGGUUGCUAGAGAGUAGCGAGAUACACUUCAACAAUUGUAGUUCUUCAACAAGGGGUGCUGCGUCAAACACAAUGUCCAGAUUUUGACCCCUUAUCCCAAGCAUGACGGUGUGUCAUUGGCUGUUCUGAUAUGCAGAGGGGCCGAAGUGUGGCUUCAUGAGGACGUGUGCAAAUGGACUGGAGGUUUACAAGUUGAUGACAGUUACAUAUAUGGCAUAUGAUCAAGUACCAGCUCUCAAAGGAUAUGCCCUCAAUCUUAGUCAAAAGCCCAUAUGAUCAUGCUCUAUGGGCUUCUUGUAAUAACAGUUUGGUUGUAGUCUUUGUACAAGAGAUCACCAGCAGAAUUCCUGAGAAAUCAUAUGAUGGACCAGCAAGUGAGCAACAAAGUGACCUCUGUUGCUUUGUCAGAGAGUAUACAACUAUUGUGUUCUCUUUUCUUGGUUUGAUGUAUGCUCUUAAAACCUUGUGAACUCGUAUGCUGGCUAACUGGUAGUGCUGAUGUAUAUUACUUCCUCCGUCCACGGCACAUCUUUUUA
Molecule: long non-coding RNA, 2231 nt
Organism: Lolium perenne
Lineage: Eukaryota; Viridiplantae; Streptophyta; Magnoliopsida; Poales; Poaceae
Source: RefSeq, a predicted model, not a curated record